RNAcentral lists this ribosomal RNA (1373 nucleotides) under uncultured bacterium. RNAcentral's name for it is "bacterial SSU rRNA". It matches the Rfam family "Bacterial small subunit ribosomal RNA", at positions 28 to 1381 of the family's 1533-position model. The record is from RNAcentral.
GAUGAACGCUGGCGGCGUGCCUAAUACAUGCAAGUCGAGCGAACGGACGAGAAGCUUGCUUCUCUGAUGUUAGCGGCGGACGGGUGAGUAACACGUGGAUAACCUACCUAUAAGACUGGGAUAACUUCGGGAAACCGGAGCUAAUACCGGAUAAUAUUUUGAACCGCAUGGUUCAAAAGUGAAAGACGGUCUUGCUGUCACUUAUAGAUGGAUCCGCGCUGCAUUAGCUAGUUGGUAAGGUAACGGCUUACCAAGGCAACGAUGCAUAGCCGACCUGAGAGGGUGAUCGGCCACACUGGAACUGAGACACGGUCCAGACUCCUACGGGAGGCAGCAGUAGGGGAUCUUCCGCAAUGGGCGAAAGCCUGACGGAGCAACGCCGCGUGAGUGAUGAAGGUCUUCGGAUCGUAAAACUCUGUUAUUAGGGAAGAACAUAUGUGUAAGUAACUGUGCACAUCUUGACGGUACCUAAUCAGAAAGCCACGGCUAACUACGUGCCAGCAGCCGCGGUAAUACGUAGGUGGCAAGCGUUAUCCGGAAUUAUUGGGCGUAAAGCGCGCGUGGGCGGUUUUUUAAGUCUGAUGUGAAAGCCCACGGCUCAACCGUGGAGGGUCAUUGGAAACUGGAAAACUUGAGUGCAGAAGAGGAAAGUGGAAUUCCAUGUGUAGCGGUGAAAUGCGCAGAGAUAUGGAGGAACACCAGUGGCGAAGGCGACUUUCUGGUCUGUAACUGACGCUGAUGUGCGAAAGCGUGGGGAUCAAACAGGAUUAGAUACCCUGGUAGUCCACGCCGUAAACGAUGAGUGCUAAGUGUUAGGGGGUUUCCGCCCCUUAGUGCUGCAGCUAACGCAUUAAGCACUCCGCCUGGGGAGUACGACCGCAAGGUUGAAACUCAAAGGAAUUGACGGGGACCCGCACAAGCGGUGGAGCAUGUGGUUUAAUUCGAAGCAACGCGAAGAACCUUACCAAAUCUUGACAUCCUUUGACAACUCUAGAGAUAGAGCCUUCCCCUUCGGGGGGGCAAAGUGACAGGUGGUGCAUGGUUGUCGUCAGCUCGUGUCGUGAGAUGUUGGGUUAAGUCCCGCAACGAGCGCAACCCUUAAGCUUAGUUGCCAUCAUUAAGUUGGGCACUCUAAGUUGACUGCCGGUGACAAACCGGAGGAAGGUGGGGAUGACGUCAAAUCAUCAUGCCCCUUAUGAUUUGGGCUACACACGUGCUACAAUGGACAAUACAAAGGGCAGCGAAACCGCGAGGUCAAGCAAAUCCCAUAAAGUUGUUCUCAGUUCGGAUUGUAGUCUGCAACUCGACUACAUGAAGCUGGAAUCGCUAGUAAUCGUAGAUCAGCAUGCUACGGUGAAUACGUUCCCGGGUCU